This 400-nucleotide ribosomal RNA is filed under the name uncultured bacterium. Its description in RNAcentral is "bacterial SSU rRNA". It matches the Rfam family "Bacterial small subunit ribosomal RNA", at positions 355 to 748 of the family's 1533-position model. The record is from RNAcentral.
UUUCGAAUCAUUCACAAUGGGCGAAAGCCUGAUGGUGCGACGCCGCGUGAGGGAUGAAGGUCUUCGGAUUGUAAACCUCUGUCACCGGGGAAGAAACGCUAUACGAUAACAUCGGAUAGCCUGACUUAACCCGGAGAGGAAGCAGUGGCUAACUCUGUGCCAGCAGCCGCGGUAAUACAGAGACUGCAAGCGUUAUUCGGAUUCACUGGGCGUAAAGGGUGCGCAGGCGGCCGUGUGUGUGAGAUGUGAAAUCCCGGGGCUUAACUCCGGAACUGCGUCUCAAACUACACGGCUAGAGCAUUGGAGAGGGAAGUGGAAUUCACGGUGUAGCAGUGAAAUGCGUAGAUAUCGUGAGGAACACCAGAGGCGAAGGCGACUUCCUGGACAAUUGCUGACGCUC